GGGAGUAUAGCUCAGUGGUAGAGUGUAGGCCUAGCAUACACAAGUUCCUAGGUUCAAUCCCUAGAACUUCCA
Molecule: transfer RNA, 72 nt
Filed under: Camelus dromedarius (Arabian camel)
Lineage: Eukaryota; Metazoa; Chordata; Mammalia; Artiodactyla; Camelidae
Also listed under: 1 other name
Rfam family: tRNA
About the family: Transfer RNA (tRNA) molecules are approximately 80 nucleotides in length. Their secondary structure includes four short double-helical elements and three loops (D, anti-codon, and T loops).
Source: Rfam by way of RNAcentral